CCCUUAGAUGUUCUGGGCCGCACGCGCGCUACACUGAUGAAUGCAACGAGCUCUACCCUUGACCGAAAGGCCCGGGUAAACUUGUGAAACUUCAUCGUGAUGGGGAUAGAUUAUUGCAAUUAUUAAUCUUCAACGAGGAAUUCCUAGUAAGCGCGAGUCAUCAGCUCGCGUUGAUUACGUCCCUGCCCUUUGUACACACCGCCCGUCGCUCCUACCGAUUGAAUGGUCCGGUGAAAUCUUCGGAUUGCUGACCAAGAUCCAGCAAUGGAGCUUGGUUGCGAGAAGUUGAUUAAACCUUAUUAUUUAGAGGAAGGAGGAGUCGUAACA
Molecule: ribosomal RNA, 327 nt
Filed under: uncultured eukaryote
Lineage: Eukaryota
Description: partial 18S ribosomal RNA
Rfam family: Eukaryotic small subunit ribosomal RNA
Source: RNAcentral